GAUGAACGCUGGCGGCGUGCCUAAUACAUGCAAGUCGAGCGAACAGACGAGGAGCUUGCUCCUCUGACGUUAGCGGCGGACGGGUGAGUAACACAUGGAUAACCUACCUAUAAGACUGGGAUAACUUCGGGAAACCGGAGCUAAUACCGGAUAAUAUAUUGAACCGCAUGGUUCAAUAGUGAAAGACGGUUUUGCUGUCACUUAUAGAUGGAUCCGCGCCGCAUUAGCUAGUUGGUAAGGUAACGGCUUACCAAGGCAACGAUGCGUAGCCGACCUGAGAGGGUGAUCGGCCACACUGGAACUGAGACACGGUCCAGACUCCUACGGGAGGCAGCAGUAGGGAAUCCUCCGCAAUGGGCGAAAGCCUGACGGAGCAACGCCGCGUGAGUGAUGAAGGUCUUCGGAUCGUAAAACUCUGUUAUUAGGGAAGAACAAAUGUGUAAGUAACUAUGCACGUCUUGACGGUACCUAAUCAGAAAGCCACGGCUAACUACGUG
This 497-nucleotide ribosomal RNA is filed under the name uncultured bacterium. Its description in RNAcentral is "partial 16S ribosomal RNA". It matches the Rfam family "Bacterial small subunit ribosomal RNA", at positions 28 to 507 of the family's 1533-position model. The record is from RNAcentral.